Oncorhynchus keta (chum salmon) is the source of this 2221-nucleotide long non-coding RNA. RefSeq lists it as uncharacterized. The record is from RefSeq and is a predicted model, not a curated record. The transcript is spliced from 6 exons. NCBI's taxonomy places the organism in Eukaryota, Metazoa, Chordata, Actinopteri, Salmoniformes, Salmonidae.
UGCACACACACACAGCUACACACGAUGCACACACACAUUUGCUGCAGAUACACAUACCAACGCAUACAUUUUACCCCAGGUGUGUAUUAGUGUUACCCCAGGUGUGUUAGUGUUACCCCAGGUGUGUGUUAGUGUUACCCCAGGUGUGUUAGUGUUACCCCAGGUGUGUGUUAGUGUUACCCCAGGUGUGUGUUAGUGUUACCCCAGGUGUGUAUUAGUGUUACCCCAGGUGUGUGUUAGUGUUACCCCAGGUGUGUGUUAGUGUUACCCCAGGUGUGUGUUAGUUUUACCCCAGGUGUGUAUUAGUGUUACCCCAGGUGUGUGUUAGUGUUACCCCAGGUGUGUGUUAGUGUUACCCCAGGUGUGUGUUAGUGUUACCCCAGGUGUGUGUUAGUGUUACCCCAGGUGUGUAUUAGUGUUACCCCAGGUGUGUGUUAGUGUUACCCCAGGUGUGUGUUAGUGUUACCCCAGGUGUGUAUUAGUGUUACCCCAGGUGUGUGUUAGUGUUACCCCAGGUGUGUAUUAGUGUUACCCCAGGUGUGUGUUAGUGUUACCCCAGGUGUGUGUUAGUGUUACCCCAGGUGUGUAUUAGUGUUACCCCAGGUGUGUAUUAGUGUUACCCCAGGUGUGUUAGUGUUACCCCAGGUGGGUGUUACCCCAGGUGUGUAUUAGUGUUACCCCAGGUGUGUUUGUGUUACCCCAGGUGUGUGUUUGUGUUACCCCAGGUGUGUGUUUGUGUUACCCCAGGUGUGUGUUUGUGUUACCCCAGGUGUGUGUUUGUGUUACCCCAGGUGUGUGUUUGUGUUACCCCAGGUGUGUGUUAGUGUUACCCCAGGUGUGUGUUAGUGUUACCCCAGGUGUGUGUUAGUGUUACCCCAGGUGUGUGUUAGUGUUACCCCAGGUGUGUGUUAGUGUUACCCCAGGUGUGUGUUUGUGUUACCCCAGGUGUGUGUUUGUGUUACCCCAGGUGUGUGUUCGUGUUACCCCAGGUGUGUGUUAGUGUUACCCCAUGUGUGUAUUAGUGUUACCCCAUGUGUGUAUUAGUGUUACCCCAGGUGUGUAUUAGUGUUACCCCAGGUGUGUAUUAGUGUUACCCCAGGUGUGUGUAUUACUUACUUACUUAAUUACUUUAUUGUCCCCAUGUGGAAAUUCUGUUGCAGUGUCAUGUACACAUUCAAAGUGUUGUUUAAAUACAAAACAACUUUUAUAACAGUCACGCACCAAUAAAAAUAAUAAUAGUAAGAAAUAAAACAUAAAAACAUUUAAAGAAGAAAAGACUAGCCUGCUGGCCUUAUGGGUCAAUGGGAACAUUCUCCCGAGCUAUUCAGGAGGGAUAUCACACCUGGCACAAAAGAUUGUCUCGUUCUGUUUUUCCUGCUGAGGGGUGCCCUAUACCUGCGCCCAGAGGGGAGUAAUUCAAACUCCAGGUACAGGGGGUGGCUUGGGUCUAAAAGGAUUUUGUGAGCCUUACGGAGGGCCCUGACCUUAAAGACCAUGUUAAUAACCCCUCAUCCAGGCCUGUCUGACUCCAAGUACCUUGCUUGCUGUGGUAAUAAUCCUUCUCAGCAUAUUUUUCUGUCUGACAGUGGCAUUGCCAAACCAACAAACAACACCAAAAGUUAAAAUACUCUCAAUAAAGGAUUUGAAAAACAGAGUCAGCAUAGUACAGUCUAUAUUAAAAGAACCCAAGUGUUUUAGAAAGUACAGUCUCUGUUGGCUCUUUUUGUAGAUCAGGUCUGUACAUUUACUCCACUGAAGCUUAUUGUCCAGAAUGACACCCAGAUAUUUAUAUUCCUCUACGAUUUCUAUAUCCUGACCUCUGAUAGAUGUUGCAGAGGUAGGUGUUGUACACUUCCUGAAGUCAAUGCACAUCUCUUUGGUCUUGUUGGUAUUGAGGACCGAGUGUGAUUCAUCACACCACUCUACAAAGUCAUCUAGGACCGGGCCAUGAUGUUCCUCACACCACUCUACAAAGUCAUCUAGGACCGGGCCAUGAUGUUCCUCACACCACUCUACAAAGUCAUCUAGGACCGGGACCAUGAUGUUCCUCACACCACUCUACAAAGUCAUCUAGGACCGGGCCAUGAUGUUCCUCACACCACUCUACAAAGUCAUCUAGGACCGGGCCAUGAUGUUCCUCACACCACUCUACAAAGUCAUCUAGGACCGGGCCAUGAUGUUCCUCACACCACUCUACAAAGUCAUCUUGGACCGGGACAUG